RNAcentral lists this ribosomal RNA (253 nucleotides) under bacterium. RNAcentral's name for it is "partial 16S ribosomal RNA". It matches the Rfam family "Bacterial small subunit ribosomal RNA", at positions 524 to 776 of the family's 1533-position model. The record is from RNAcentral. RNAcentral also lists the same sequence under 1 other name.
UACGAACUGUGCAAACGUUAUUCGGAAUCACUGGGCUUACAGGGUGCGUAGGCGGCAUUUUAAGUCAGGUGUGAAAUCCCCCGGCUCAACCGGGGAACUGCGCCUGAGACUGGAUUGCUCGAGUGAGGCAGGGGUGUACGGAACUUCCGGUGGAGCGGUGAAAUGUGUAGAUAUCGGAAGGAACGCCAGCAGCGAAAGCGGUACACUGGGCCUUGUCUGACGCUGAGGCACGAAAGCCAGGGUAGCGAACGGG